GACGAACGCUGGCGGCGUGCUUAACACAUGCAAGUCGAGCGGAAAGGCCCACUUGUGGGUACUCGAGCGGCGAACGGGUGAGUAACACGUGAGUAAUCUGCCCUUCACUUGGGGAUAACGUCCAGAAAUGGGUGCUAAUACCCGGUAUUCCCAGGUCCACGCAUGUGGGUGUGGGGAAAGGUUUUUCUGGUGGGGGAUGUGCUCGCGGCCUAUCAGCUUGUUGGUGGGGUAAUGGCCUACCAAGGCUUUGACGGGUAGCCGGCCUGAGAGGGUGACCGGCCACACUGGGACUGAGACACGGCCCAGACUCCUACGGGAGGCAGCAGUGGGGAAUAUUGGACAAUGGGCGGAAGCCUGAUCCAGCAACGCCGCGUGAGGGAUGACGGCCUUCGGGUUGUAAACCUCUUUCGACAUUGACGAAGCCCUUUUGGGGUGACGGUAGGUGUAGAAGAAGGACCGGCCAACUACGUGCCAGCCGCCGCCGUAAAAC
RNAcentral lists this ribosomal RNA (490 nucleotides) under uncultured bacterium. RNAcentral describes it as "bacterial SSU rRNA". It matches the Rfam family "Bacterial small subunit ribosomal RNA", at positions 28 to 526 of the family's 1533-position model. The record is from RNAcentral.